AACGAACGCUGGCGGCAGGCCUAACACAUGCAAGUCGAGCGAGCAUUUCGGUGCUAGCGGCGGACGGAUGAGUAACGCGUGGGAACGUGCCCUUUUCUGCGGAAUAGUCCUGGGAAACUGGGGGUAAUACCGCAUACGCCCUUUUGGGGAAAGAUUUAUCGGAGAAGGAUCGGCCCGCGUUGGAUUAGGUAGUUGGUGGGGUAAUGGCCCACCAAGCCGACGAUCCAUAGCUGGUUUGAGAGGAUGAUCAGCCACACUGGGACUGAGACACGGCCCAGACUCCUACGGGAGGUAGCAGUGGGGAAUCUUAGACAAUGGGGGCAACCCUGAUCUAGCCAUGCCGCGUGAGUGAUGAAGGCCUUAGGGUUGUAAAGCUCUUUCAGCUGGGAAGAUAAUGACGGUACCAGCAGAAGAAGCCCCGGCUAACUCCGUG
This 433-nucleotide ribosomal RNA is filed under the name uncultured bacterium. Its description in RNAcentral is "partial 16S ribosomal RNA". It matches the Rfam family "Bacterial small subunit ribosomal RNA", at positions 29 to 507 of the family's 1533-position model. The record is from RNAcentral.